GAUGAACGCUGGCGGCGUGCCUAAUACAUGCAAGUCGAGCGAACGGACGAGAAGCUUGCUUCUCUGAUGUUAGCGGCGGACGGGAGAGUAACACGUGGAUAACCUACCUCUAAGACUGGGAUAACUUCGGGAAACCGGAGCUACUACCGGAUAAUAUUUUGAACCGCAUGGUUCAAAAGUGAAAGACGGUCUUGCUGUCACUUAUAGAUGGAUCCGCGCUGCAUUAGCUAGUUGGUAAGGUAACGGCUUACCAAGGCAACGAUGCAUAGCCGACCUGAGAGGGUGAUCGGCCACACGGGAACUGAGACACGGUCCAGACUCCUACGGGAGGCAGCAGUAGGGAAUCUUCCGCAAUGGGGGAAAGCCUGACGGAGCAACGCCGCGUGAGCGAUGGAGGUCUUCGGAUCGUAAAACUCUGUUAUUAGGGAAGAACAUAUGUGUAAGUAACUGUGCACAUCAUGACGGUACCUAAUCAAAAAGCCACGGCUAACUACGUG
Molecule: ribosomal RNA, 497 nt
Filed under: uncultured bacterium
Lineage: Bacteria
Description: partial 16S ribosomal RNA
Rfam family: Bacterial small subunit ribosomal RNA
Source: RNAcentral